CCUCCCUUCCCCUGCUUGAUAUUUCUCUUUUAAGGUCUGAGGAGGAAAGCUGAAGAAAAAACAGAGUUCUUGGAUUAUUUAUAGGGCUUUGGGUGGUCUGUAGGAGGAAAGGGGUGUUACACAAAAGGAGGAAAGAACAUCUACAUAGAUUGAUGUAAGGCACUACAUGCGUGCCAAAGUUUUUUCUUCUCUUUUUUUUCCCCUCUCUUCCCCUCCCCUCAGAGACUCCGAUCUCUGCUGCCGUUUUUAAGAGGCUUUUUAAAAUCCUUAUAAAAGAGUGCUUAGGGGUGCCUCAGGAGUUUUACCAUCAUUUGGUUACCCUCUAUGUGCAUGCAAGUUGGGCUGCAAGGUUUUACAGGAUUUCUCCCUCUUUGGACUCAGCCAAAAAGCAAGGUUUUGUCACCCAGAUUUCACACAGCCCUGAUUUGGAUCAUCUCGUUGAAGCAGCCUCAGUGCAGAACUCUGGCACUGUCCAAAGUUGCCAGCUAGAUCUCAGCUGGCUGGAGCGUCUUCCUCAUACCAGUGAGUUUCUUCUAAAAUCUCAGCAGCCAAACCAGCCUUCCAAGCGCCCCUCACUCCGAAGCAUUCAGAGUUCAUAUCACUAAGGAAAAGGAUCCGAACAUUGUGACACAAUGAAGGAAUGGAUGUCUGUGGGGAUGCAGAUGACCCAUCUGUCAGAAGGAAGGAGGGAUUGCCCUUGGCUGGUGAGACACAGAAAGCAGCUAUGAAAGAACUGUUGGGAAAAGGUGAAUCCAAAUGAAAAGGAGACAUUCUUAGCCCAGAGAGCAGAGAUCACAACUCUCUAGGACAGGGGUAGUCAACUAUGGCACGCGUGCCAAAGGCGGCAUGCGAGCUGAUUUUCAGUGGCACUCACACUGCCCAGAUCCUGGCCACCUGUCCGGGGGGGCUCUGCAUUUUAAUUUAAUUUUAAAUGAAGUUUCUUAAACAUUGUAAAAACCUUAUUUACUUAACAUACAAACAUAGUUUAGUUAUAUAUUAUAGAUUUAUAGAAAGAGACCUUCUAAAAAUGUUAAAAUGUAUUACUGGCACACAAAACCUUAAAUUAGAGUGAAUAUAUGAAGACUCGGCACACUGCUUCUGAAAGGUUGCCAACCCCUGCUCUAGGAAAAGGGAGUGGGGAAGAUCCCAGUGCUGGGAGUGGGGAUCACAUGGUAACCCCAAGAAGGGAGGUGGAUUUUUUGCAUAUGUAGAGUUCUAGGGUUGGGAGACGGCUGAGCAGAGGGCCAGCCAAUAUGCAGGCUCUCCCUGAACCCUUAUCUCACCAGACCCUGAGGUGCCAAAAUCCCAGACGUAUGAUUAGAUUGAGAACCCAGGCAGAAAGGAACACAGGAGGGAAUGAAAAGCCAGUAACUGAUUACAUGCAAGGUUCA
This 1391-nucleotide long non-coding RNA is filed under the name Chrysemys picta bellii (western painted turtle). Its description in RNAcentral is "lncRNA (ENSCPBG00000004496.1)". Lineage: Eukaryota; Metazoa; Chordata; Testudines; Emydidae. The record is from RNAcentral.